Molecule: long non-coding RNA, 2335 nt
Organism: Acanthochromis polyacanthus (spiny chromis)
Lineage: Eukaryota; Metazoa; Chordata; Actinopteri; Pomacentridae
Exons: 2
Source: RefSeq, a predicted model, not a curated record
CGAUGGAUGGGUCCUCGCAUCCACGCUGGUCGGCGAAUCCAUGCACGUUCACCAGGUGGCACUGUGACUGAGAGUGUGUGCUGGCCUCUGAAUCACAUCUGGACCAGAGUUUAAUCACACGUAAAAUUUCAGCCAGAUUGGAGCAUGUUCAGACUAGUUAUACAGCAUUUCCUGCCCAUCCACCACCAGGUGGCGCUGUAACUCAGAGUGUAUUUCAAACAGUGGAUGUGAUGAGGGCUGGACUCUGAUCACUCAUGAAAAGUUUCAGGCUGAUUUGAUCAUGUAGAGGCCAGUUAUACAGCAUUUAUUGUCCCUCCAACAGGUGGCGCUGCAACUGAGAGUGUCUGUUGGCCUGUAGAUGUGAUCAGGAUUGGAUUGUGAUCACACAUGGAAAGUUUGAGGCAGAUUGGAGCAUGCAGAGGAGAGUUAUACAGCAGUUGUUGUUUCAUGGCGAAGCAUCAAAACUCUAAUGGUCGCCAUGGCCACGCCAUUUGGCUUCUGGUUAAACUUUUGAUAACUUUUCCAAACCAAGUCCUGCUGUGUGGACUGACAAAAUUUCAGGUCUCCUGGAAUUAUCCCCUAGGAGGUAUUAACUCUCAAAAAUGAGAAAAAUCAUCAAAAAUCUCACAAUUAAUCCAAGAUGGCCGACUUCCUGUUGGGUUUAGGACAUGGCUCCAAGAGGCUUUUUUGUGCGUCCUGAUGUGCUCUAUAAGCCUCCCAAAUUUCAUGGAUGUAGGUGAAACGUGCUGGGGGGGCUGUUUGUUAAAAAUACUGUAGGGGGCGCUAUAGCAUGUGCAGUGCCGAGAUGCAUACAGUGUUGUUCCUUGGGUCAAUGGUGAUGUGUGUGGUAAUUUUUGUGAGCAUUGGAGUAUUCCUAACCUGUCAGAAAGGGCUUUGUUUUUCAUGGCGAUAUUUGGUUGCUACGGCAACAGCGUUGCAUGAAAUGUCACACCCUUCACAGUGUGUGAUUGUCAAGAGGUGAAGACUCGACUGACCAAUUUCCAGCAUGAUAUCACCAAGUUUGGGGCCAUUGUACCUGAAAAUAUAAGGCCUUAAACUUACUAUUACCAACAGGUGGCGCUAUGACUUUUUCAAAAUUUAUGAGUGUGGAUGUGUUCAGACUGGACCUGGUAUCCAGCAUGUGAAGUCUGAGGCAGAUAGGAUGUUGUUCAGCUGAGAUAUGAAUCGUUAAAUUUUCAUGGCGAAACAUCGAAAUUGGUUUGGCCGCCACAGACACGCCCUUUGAUGACAAGUCACCAUUUUCACUGGGAUGCAUCAUCAAUGUGUUUAGGCUGUUGUCACUGCAUUUGAAGUGAAUAUGAUCAACCGGGUAACAAUAGGGCAUGAAAGUGUAAAAGAUGUCUAUUUCCUGAAACCACAAGGUGGCGCUAUGACUGUCAAUGAAUAUCCCUAUGUGGAUGACAUCAGGACAGGACUGUCAUCAUACAUGUAAAGUUUCAGGCAGAUUGGAGCAUGUUGAGAAGAAUUAGACACCACUUCCUGUUUCAUGGCGAAGGAUCAGUUGUUUGAGGCUCCGCCAUGGCCACACCUUUUGGCUUCUGGUUGAGUUUUUGAUAACUUUUCAUCAGAAAGGUCUGGUGCAUGUACUGGCCAAAUUUCAGUUCUCUCAGACUUAUCCACUAGGAGCUAUAAAUUUUGACAAAUGUACAGCAAAUUCAAGAUGGCCGACUUCCUGUUGGGUUUAGGGUGUGGCUGUGAUUGACUUUUUGGUGUGUCCUGAUGUGGUGCAUAUGCCCACCAAAUAUUGUAGCUGUAAAUAAAACAUUGUGGAAGUUGGCCUAAUGACCACUUUUUCAAUUUUGCAGGUGGCGCUAUAGAGCCAUUUUUCCACACAUAUGCGCAACUCCCAUAAAAUAUCAAAUUUUUCGCCAGUCCUGAUGUGCACGCCAAAUUUCACGCGUUUUGGUUCAUGAUAAGGCCGCCAAAAAGGCAAGUCAUUUCCCGAGGAGCGAUUAAGUUUGAAAAAUUUACAGCAAAUUGAAGAUGGCCGACUUCCUGUUGGGUUUAGGGCGUGGCUGUAAUUGACUUUUUGGUGUGUCCAGAUGUUCUGCAUAUGCCCACCAAAUAUUGUAGCUGUACAUGAAACAUUGUGGCAGUUGGCCUAAUGACUACUUUUUCAAGUUUGCAGGUGGCGCUAUAGAGCCAUUUUGCCACGCACAUGCGCAACUCCCAUAAAAUAUCAAAUUUUUCGCCAGUCCUGAUGUGCAUGCCAAAUUUCACGCGUUUUGGAGUAUGAUAAGGCCGCCAAAAAGCCAAUUUACUUUACGGGAGAAAAAAAAAAAAAAAAAAUAAUAAUAAUAAUAAUAAUAAUAAA